This 605-nucleotide unclassified non-coding RNA is filed under the name Hevea brasiliensis (rubber tree). The record is from RNAcentral. Lineage: Eukaryota; Viridiplantae; Streptophyta; Magnoliopsida; Malpighiales; Euphorbiaceae.
AAUACAUAUUAUUCACCAUAAUUUCAAUACCAAUAACAAUAACCAUAACCUGUUCUUCUUAGUAUUUUUGAGGAUUAAAAUAUAAUUUCUUCUUCUAUUGCUACUUUUCUUUCUUGCUGCUAUUUUCUUAUCUAACACACUAUGCCCAGUAAUUGCUGCAAACUUCUCCCUUGAAAAAAUACCAGGAUUUCUUAUUGCUUUUAUUUCUUUUAAACUUGCAUUCUUGAAUUUCUUUAAUUGAAUCUGCUACCUCUAUAACAAUUCUUGUUUCUUGUAAGCUUCUGUGAGUUGAAUUCUUGGGUCAAUACAUCCACUCAUGAGGCAGGCAUAUUUCAUGAUCGCGAACACUCUCUGCGCCUAAAUUUCCCUUCUGCUGUGCCAAUGGGCCAUUUCUUUCCAUCAAAGCAUCACAAUCAGAGCCAAAAGCACCAUUAAAGCGUGGCUUGGUAUGACCAUGCUUCUUCAAGUCCUCAAGGCUCACAUCUAGAGACUGAACAACCUUGGUUGGGACCAGAACUGUGGAGCAAGCUGAUUUCUUCUUACAAGCAGAGGGAUUGGUGUAUCCGCGAGGCAAGAAAACACCAGUACCAGCACAUUCUCUUUUA